UUUCUUCUGUUCUCUUCUCGUUUCUUCUCUUUCUUCUUCCCUGUCUUCUGCUGCUAGCGAGUGAGAGUGAGGUUUGAGAAUUUUCGCUGUGAUAAUCGGUCAAUAAGAAGGAGUAUAUUAAGUAGAUAAUGUUACUGAUGUUGAUGAGGAGAUUCCUUGAACGAUGGAAGUUAUGGUUUCUAAAGUUAGUUGAGAGAUUUUAUGAAAUUGAAUCUUUGAUGAGUUUGAGAUGAUAGGUUUUCAUUAUUAAAAGAUAAGAAGAAGUUUUAGUAGAUGAAUAUUGAAUUAAGAAUCAAUGAUUAGGGUUUUUGAUAUUCAUUGGAGUUGUGAUUUGAGAUGAUUAAGAAGAUGUUUAAAGAUGGGUUGGUCGAUCUGAUGAUCGUUGUGGUGUUAAUUCAAGUAGUUUAUUCAGAGUUACUAGGAAAGGGUAAUCAGAGAAGGACUGAAGAAUUAGGGCCCAACGAAAAGUUAGGGAAGACGAAAUGGAAGGUUAGAAGAUCGAAUUGGAGGUGUGUUUAACUUGAACUUGGAAGUUGGGGUUUUGAAUUUGAAGUUGGGGUUGCUUAAUCGAAAACCAGGGUUCAUGUGUUCUUCCCCAAAUUAGUAAAUCAGGAUUUCUGUUGAUAAGAAGAUGACUGAGUAGUUAUGAGAGUAAAGUUGGUUGAUGUAAGAGCAAAGGGGUUAUUGUUGUAUUGAUGUUGUGAAGUUAUUUAAGGAAGAGAUUGAAUGUAUGACUGAAGAUUUGAGUAACUAGUGAAUUAGGGUCUCGAUUGGAUUAUGGAUUUAGGGUUCAUGGGUUGAACUGCAGUUGGAUAGAAGAGUUUGAAUUCAACAAUUUAAGGUAAUCUCUGUUUCCUGAAUUGAAUUGGAUUUAUUUUCAUCCAUUCUGAAUUACCAAAUUUGUAUAAUAGUUGUAUGUAUUUUUGAAUUGAAGUUCUGUGUGCUGGAUUUGGUGUUGUUAUGCUUGGGUGAAUGAGAUACUCCUACAGGGAUUGAUCUUUAAGAACUGGUGUUGGUACUGAUGUUGAUUGCAUGGAGUUAUAGUGAACUGAAUAAUAGAAUGGUGUACAGGGUAUGCAUGAGAAGAUAGUGAUAGUGAAGGUGCGGUGUCAAUGAUGUUAUAGGGAGUAAUAGUGUUGUUUUGUAGAGGUAAUUAAUUGAAUUUGAAAUAUGAAGUGCAGGUGGUUAUGUAAUUACACUUUGUAAUUGAAUUUUUGUGGAUGUAUGGGUGGUUGGGAGUGUUCUUGAAGACAUGAACUAAUUAUGAAAUAAGACUAAGACAAUAUUAAAGUAUGACGUACUGUGAUUAGUGAAGUAUGAUUAAAGUGAAAGUUGCAGAUUAGGUUUGAAUCUGUGUUACAGUUGAGUUUGAGAUGAAACUGAACUUAAUUAGGUUGAACGCCAAGAAGGUAUUGUUUAUGAGACUGAAGUUGCGGAGGAUGAUGGUUUGAAUUGAGAAGUUGCAGUUGGGGAAAGACUAGUGUCUCGAGAAGUAUGAGUUGGACUUAGCAUUAGAGCUGUAUUGGUGGUGUAUGUAUUACUAGUCAUUAUAAUUAGUAGCAAAGGUGUUGCAUAGGGAUGCAAUUGCAGGUAAACCGAAUUAUCAGUUGUAAUUGAGUUAUGAAAUUAUGGUAACCGAGUUUGAUAGUAUUGAUUGUUGAAGUGUAAAUAAGAAGAGGAAUCUGAGUUAGUUUAUGGUGAAUUGAAUCUCCUCAGUGGAAGCUUUCAACUGCAUUUACAGUGGAUCGUGGAUCUCUAUGUAGGCGUGGCUUGUCAUCAAAAGAGUUUCAGAGAUAGAUCAGGGUUGCGCAGCGGAAGCUUCGAGGAGUUGAGUUUGUUAGUUUAAUUAACUUCGGCUAUGUUAUUAUACUGUAUGUUUUAUUUGUAAACCAAAUGAAUAUUGUAUAUGUAUCAUUUGAGAGAAAUUCUUGUAUAUAUAUAUAUGUUUCA
Molecule: long non-coding RNA, 1950 nt
Organism: Papaver somniferum (opium poppy)
Lineage: Eukaryota; Viridiplantae; Streptophyta; Magnoliopsida; Ranunculales; Papaveraceae
Exons: 3
Source: RefSeq, a predicted model, not a curated record